This 5295-nucleotide small RNA is filed under the name Pongo abelii (Sumatran orangutan). Its description in RNAcentral is "retained intron". Lineage: Eukaryota; Metazoa; Chordata; Mammalia; Primates; Hominidae. The record is from RNAcentral.
CUUCCAUACCCUCCCUUGUGGCUCCCAUGCCCGUGUUUCCCACGUGUCCUCGCGGCCCUGACUGCUCUCCUGCUUCUUUGUGGGACCUCCCAACUCCCCCAGUGUCCUCCAGAGACCUCCAUGUUCCCGUGUGAGCUCGUUUUUUUCACGUUUCGUGUGUGGCCCCUGUGUGUCCUCCCGUGUUCCCUGCAUGAGUCCUACAUGAGCCUUGCAUGUCCUCCUGUGUCUUCCCAUGUCCCCACAGCAGGACCCUUCGCAGCUCCUUCCUGCUCCUUCUGCUGGUCAGUGCCUCCUGGCUCUUUGGGCUCCUGGCAGUCAACCACAGCAUCCUGGCCUUCCACUACCUCCAUGCCGGACUCUGCGGCCUCCAGGUGACUCUGGUGCCCCUCCCUCGCCCCAGAAGCAGGUGGACCUUCAGUAGGCUGGGGCCAUCCCUAGGCAGAUGCCGACCCUAGGCCUGGAGCUGACUCUUACUGGAUAACUUUGCCAGGCUGGGUACUACCGCAGGCCAGACACUGGCCCUAGCUGCUGCCCCCAGGCCUGGAGCUGACUCUAACUUAGGCACUGAUCCCAGACUGAGUGCUGAUCUUGGAUUGACCUUCACCAACACCAAGGCUCCCGGCCCCGCCCCUUGCUGAUCCACACCGACCUUACUGACUCCAGCCACUCCUGCUGCUCCAACCUCUCCCCUGCUGACCUUCCCCGACUCCCUUACUGAGUCCGGCAUGGGCUCCUCACUGACCCACACUAGCCUACAGUGACUGACCCCAUUGCUGACCCACAGUGACUUAUACUGGUCCCUGAUUGACCCCUGCCGACCUUCUUUGACCCUUGCUAACCCACAGGGCCUGGCGGUGCUGCUGCUCUUCUGUGUCCUGAAUGCAGACGCUCGGGCUGCCUGGACGCCAGCCUGUCUGGGCAGGAAGGCAGCGCCUGAGGAGGCAAGGCCAGCACCUGGGACGGUGAGUCGGGAUGGGGGCCCUGAGAAGCCAGGGUUUGAGGCUGCUUCAGGGUUGGCUCACACUCUGUCCCCACCACCCCCAGGUACCUGGGGCCUACAACAACACGGCUCUCUUUGAGGAGAGUGGCCUCAUCCGCAUCACUCUGGGCGCCUCCACCGUCUCCUCUGUGAGCAGUGCCCGCUCCGGCCGGACCCAGGACCAGGACAGCCAGCGGGGCCGCAGCUACCUCAGGGACAAUGUCCUGGUUCGACAUGGCUCAGCCGCUGACCACACUGACCACAGCCUCCAGGCUCAUGCUGGCCCCACUGACCUGGACGUGGCCAUGUUCCAUCGAGAUGCUGGUGGAGUUGGGGCCUGGGGCAGGGAGGAGGGAGGCAGAGGAUCUCUCCCCAUCCCCUUUUCUUCUACCCCAUACUGGGAGCAGUGGCUGACUGGGGUGGGACGAUCUCCCCCAAGGUCCCUGCCUCAGGAGGCACCUCCCUCUCCAGCCCUGGUUCUCCCAGUCCACUCCUGAUUCGUCCUUCCCUCUGAUAAGUUCCAGCCCUUCUGCUUCUGCCUCCACUUCAAGCUCUGCCCUGGUUCCCGUCCCCAACCCUAACCCCCUUGCCGUACCCACCUCUAGACCCUCAACUCCAAGUUCCCUUAUCUCCAAGUCCCUUACCUCUGAAAGUACUUCUGACUUUCCCAACUCCAGGCGCAGACUCCGACUCUGACAGUGACCUGUCCUUGGAGGAGGAGAGGAGUCUCUCCAUUCCAUCUUCAGAAAGCGAGGACAAUGGCCGGACGCGGGGGCGCUUCCAACGGCCACUCCGCCGGGCAGCCCAGAGUGAGAGGCUCCUCACCCACCCCAAAGAUGUGGAUGGCAAUGACCUCCUGUCCUACUGGCCAGCCCUGGGGGAGUGCGAGGCAGCCCCCUGUGCUCUGCAAACUUGGGGGUCUGAAAGGCGCCUGGGGCUGGACACCAGCAAGGAUGCAGCUAACAACAACCAGCCAGACCCGGCCCUGACCAGUGGGGAUGAGACUUCUCUGGGCCGGGCCCAGCGCCAGAGGAAAGGUACAGUCCCUGAGCCCUGGCCCGCACCGCAGGCACGCUGGGGGCUGCUCAUGCCCUGAGCCAAGGGAUUGCAGCUUCCUCAUGCCAAACUGAGAGCUCUUCUUACUCUGACCUAGGGUGCUUCUGCUUCUCUAGCCUGCUUCAUGGUCCUCAGGGACUGCUCCUAUCCUGACCUGAGAAUUCUCUGUACCCCUCUACCCUGGCCAGCACCACAGGGGGUGUGGUGCUGGCCCAGCCUGUCUGUUUUUCAGAGACCCUAGGAGCUGCUUCCCCCCGCCCCCCACCCAGAUCCCAGAGCCCCUGCUCUGAUCUGGAAGAUUUCUGCCUCCUACUCUGCUUUUAUGGGGACCCAGAGAAGAGGUUUCUGCCUUCACCCUUGCAUCACAGGGACCUUGGGGACUGCUCCAGUCCAACCCAGGGGGUUCCUGCAUUUCAGCCAGGCCUGCAUUGUCAGGACCUGAGGGCUGCCCCUCUUCUGACCUCAGGGAGUUUGCCCCAUCCCCUGCACCAUGGGACCUGCCCGCCCUCCCCUUGCCCCGGGACCACAACUGGAAGAUGACUGCCCUUCCACUCUGACCCCUGUCCUGCUGCCUGUCUGGGACCACCAGGGUUGCCUCUGCUGCUCCCCAAGGGGUUCCUGCUCCCAACCUUGUGUUGGAAGGAUCCCAAGGGCUACCACACCCCUAGACUCAGCAAUUCCUGCCUGCCCUCCCCCUCCCACACACACCCUGCCCCCCAUUUUCUUCCUCUCACAGGCAUCCUGAAGAACCGGUUGCAAUAUCCACUGGUGCCACAGACCCGAGGUGCCCCUGAGCUGUCCUGGUGCCGUGCAGCCACCUUGGGCCACCGUGCUGUGCCAGCUGCCUCUUAUGGUCGCAUCUAUGCUGGCGGGGGCACAGGUAGCCUUUCACAGCCAGCCAGCCGCUACUCUUCUAGAGAACAGCUGGACCUGCUCCUCCGGCGGCAACUGAGCCGUGAGCGACUAGAGGAAGCCCCUGCCCCUGUUCUACGUCCCCUGAGCCGGCCAGGGUCCCAGGAAUGCAUGGACGCUGCACCAGGCCGACUGGAGCCCAGAGAUCGGGGCAGCACCCUGCCACGGAGGCAGCCACCCCGGGACUACCCUGGCACCAUGGCUGGCCGCUUCGGGUCACGGGAUGCGCUGGACUUAGGGGCACCUCGAGAGUGGUUGAGCACGCUGCCCCCGCCCCGCCGCACCCGGGACCCUGAUCCACAGCCGCCACCUCUACCCCUGUCUCCCCAGCGGCAACUCUCAAGGGACCCCCUCUUGCCAUCCCGGCCGCUGGACUCUCUGUCUAGGAGCUCGAACUCUCGGGAGCAGCUGGACCAGGUGCCUAGCCGGCACCCCUCACGAGAAGCCCUUGGGCCACCCCCGCAGCUGCUCAGAGCUAGGGAGGACCCGGUCAGUGGCCCCAGCCACGGCCCCUCCACAGAACAGCUGGACAUUCUUUCCUCCAUCCUUGCCUCUUUCAACUCCUCGGCCCUCUCCUCUGUGCAAUCUUCAAGCACACCCUCGGGCCCUCACACCACUGCCACACCUUCUGCCACAGCCUCUGUGCUUGGGCCCUCCACGCCACGUUCUGCCACAUCUCACAGCAUCACGGAGCCGUCGCCAGACUCAGAAGUUCCCAGAAGUGAGGGUCACUCCUGAGGGGAUGACGGCGUGGACGAGGAACAGCUGAGGGCGACAGAGGAUCUAGGCUAACAGGAGAGACUCCAGGAGUGGGGGCAGAUCCCAAGGCAGCCUCCUGCUCCCCAGUGGUGGGUGCCCCAGCUCUACCUGAUGUGGCAGGGCUGAAGCUCCAUGCGCAUCUGUGAGCAUGCGUGUGACAGGUGCAGAGAGGGGGGACUGGAGGGAGACUUUUAUAUGUUUUGUACCUUUGUAACCAGAGAGAUGCUUAUGUUAUUUUUCAGCUUUUCUGUCUCCUGGGGAGUUUGAGGCUGGGCUGGGAGGGGGAGGGAGAUAGAGGGAGAGAUGCAGUUUGACCCCAUUUGGGUCCCGAGCAAACCCUAUGCUCAUCUCUCUCUCCUUCCUGGGGUGGACUCAGAUGAGUGGGACACAUGCCUUCCUCCCCCUAUUCCACUCCCAAGUUGAUCUGAGUAUCAUCAGGGGCCCAAAGUACAGAAUUGUUCUUUGCUUUUUCUUGAAUGCUCCAAAGGCCAAACUUCUGGGGCUGGGGGUUGGUCUUGGAAACAGGGGUCUUCUGACUUCCCCAUGGGGGCUUGCUCAUACAGCCCCUCCCGGUGGAUGUGUGUGUUUAUUAUGUGGAGUCCCUGCCACUUACUGCCUUAUGACCUAGGACUGAUGCUGUGGGGUGCUGGUGGAGCAGCUGAUGUCGUGUUUACAGAGCAAGGCUUCCCUGUCUCCCAUUGGGAGGGGCUUGGGCCUCUAGUCAGACAUUCCUGCAGAGGGUCGGUGGAGGGGUCAUUCACCUGCCCCUGCAGCAAGCAAAAGUUGUCUGUGGUGCCAUUUGAUUCCCUGACACUGCCCCCUGCUUGAAUUGAUUCUGAAGGGUAGGGUGGGAAGGUGAGCAAAGGGAGCAGAAACAAGGGAAUUCAAGACCCAGAAUGUAGGUGCCACUGCCUCCUAUGUUUACAGGAUCCUCCGUGGCCCUAGGCACCUGGGCUGCAGGAAGUGACUCCGUUCCACUCCUCCUUUAUUCCCUUAAAAAGGGAAAAAUGACUGUUAUGACCCUGUUCACAAAACUCUUACUUUUGCUAUUUUGUCUGCUGUCCAGAACUGAAGACUUUAAAAUUUUGUGACUGUUUACAAGUCCAGAUUCAAAAAAUGUUUUUACUUUGUUUACAACUCAAAACUUUGAGUUUUAUACUUUGUUUACAGUAGAUAAUUUUUUUUCCCUUUGUUUACAAGUGAAAGGUAGGGAAAGUGGGAGAGGGACUUGGCGGACCCACCUGUGAGGACCCUGACCUGGCCAUCUUGAGGGCUUUUCUAACCACCAGCUCUCCCAGGCCGAAGGUCAGCCUUGAGUCCCCUGUCUAACAGCAGACCCAGAAGACCUUGAGAGUAGGCGUCCUCUAACCACUGGGGAGAGUGGCUGUGCAGGGUUGGGGGGUGGUCUGUGCAGACACCUCCUCACCCACCACCCCAUGCAUACUCUUGGGAAGCAGUUUCCUGGGAGAUUAGAAAUUCUACUUCCCUGAUUGGAGCUAAAUCCCACCAGCCAGGACCCAAACUCUCCUUACCCAGAAGGACCCCAGCUCUUGAAGGGCUGAGUGGCCUGCUGGGGGGUGGGAGGGUGU